CUUGGCAAUUAGAAAUGUCUCUCUUUUUGGGGGAAAUAAGCUUAAACCCUUCUACCCCAUUUUUGUUCAACGCCAUUGCUCUCAUCUCUGUGUUAUUUGAAGGACGCCGAUUGAUCUUACACUUCGAUGCUUCAAUGGGUCACUUUGCUUUUUCUGCUGCAGUUGAUUGAAUGCUGCUGUCAUGUCCUUUCUUUCUCAGCUUUGUGUUUGUUUCCCUUACUAUUUGAUCAAGGAGGAGGUUCUUGUUGGGAGUUGUUGUAUGUUUGAAAUGAUGGGUUGGGUUGUCUUUCAUUCACUCUGUUUUGAGUUUUGAAGUCUGGGAGCUGCAAUUUGCUGUAGUUUCUGGAUGGAAUGGAGGGAUUCCUAUUAUUUUUAGUGGGUUAUUUCCAUUUGUUAUGACAUAAAUGCUCACUACAUUUCCAUUUAGAAACAUAAGUCAUCCUUUACAUUAUAAGACGACAUACAUUUGCAAAAACGUAUUCACCUGGAGAAAGGGAUGCUCAAGCAAAGUCCUCAUAAGCUGAUAAAUUGCUUCUGAGGAGUUGAUUAUCCUUCAAAGAUUUCAAUUUCUUGUGAAGGAUAUUUUCUAAAUCAUGGAUUGCUUCAUUCUCCUUCUAUUUGUCAGUUGUUCAAAAUAGGUGAGAAUGAUAGAUUCAUAAUGGGAGAAGUUUGGUUGGAAGAACUGAGAAUAAAAGAAAGUAUUCGCCGUAUAAAAGCAUAUAACUUCUUGGAAUCACAGAGUUGUCUUUUGACUCUUCAUGGCAAGUGGGGCAAUAAUUUUUUAGCAAAGACAUUUCUAAUACUAGCUGAGGCAUCUUGAUCUCAAGAAAGCAAUUCCAGUGCAGGAUGGCCACAUCCCCAUGAUUAUUAUGAGAAGGAAAGCUGGUAAAUUUGCUGAUAAUCUAGUCAGCCAUGAAGCAGAAUAUGAAUUCCCUUCAUAGGCCCCAUAAGGCGAUCCAAAGAAACAUGUUAAAGUAAUUGUUGGUCAAACAAACAUGUGUCCAUUGUUACUGAAAUGUAACUGACCACUGCAUUUGAUGAAAAUUUGUAGCCUAAUUACCCUGUUGUGUACAUAUAUUUGCAGUUAAACAGUACAUUUACUUAUUAUUCAUGUUGCGCUACCUCUUGUCUUGGGUGUUGUCUACUGUAAAGUGUUAAAUGUGGAAAAGUAGAUUUCAAGUGUUUCAGAUUAUGAAUUCCCUCCAUUGUUCUCGUGUCUGCGCUCAACUAGUGUCUUGAGUACCGCCCUCGUCAACUUUUGGUGCUCGGUUUCUGCAGUACUUGUAGGUGCCUGUUUUUUUCUUCUGGCUAAGAAUAGCAUCUAGCAAGGUAUAAGGAUGGUAGGAGGACAAAAUAUACUAAGUAAAUGCUACAAUGUUAUGCCAAUUCUAGUUUUAACCAUCAUUCUUCAAUCUUAGAUAAUGAAGGUAAAGUAGAUGUCAAAGGGAAGGGUGGUGAAAAUGCAUACUAGUUAGAGAAGCCUACCUACGAAGUACAAACGUUAGACAUACUAUUUUGUUCUGUAAGUCGGAAUAUCAUAGGAUUCUCUUAUGUCAAUAUGUUUGAUUUUCGGUUACAAUUACUCUGUCACAGAGAUGGUUGUCUUAAAACUUAAGCUGAGAGCUGAUAGAGCAUAACUCGAACACUGUCCUAUGAUGGCCAUCAUGUGCAAGUGCAAUGGAAGGCUGCAAGCCCAAAUACCAUGAAUAGUACGAGGACUUGGCACUUCUAUACUAGUUUAUCUCUAUAGAAGUCUAGACUGAUUUGCAACUUCACAAUUUUAUGUUUUGUUUGAUUCCUGUCACGUCUAAUCAUGUUUACUUUAAAAACUGUAUGCUUUGGAGAUAUUAUUUUGGUUGCUUGUUACUUUCAUUCAUAGAGCCUGUUCAUCCAAAUUCUCAUGUUUCUUGUUUUACUGGUAUCAAGGUAUCAACUGAAUUUAUGAGAUUCUUUCUACAAUCCCAACCGGGAUCUAAAAACCAACUUCAGAAGAGAAAUCAAAUAUGACCCGUGUCAUUGAAUGAGUGGAAGAUCAGAUCAUUGUAAGAUGCAAAGUUGCUCUUACACGUGUCGUUGAAUGAGUGGAAGAAGGUUAACACAAAUCAGUUCCCAGUACUGUUGAGAAGCUUGAGCUGGAAAACUUCGUUCAAAAGUGAGAACACAAAGAUCAGAUUCAUUGCUAAAGCUUGUUAUCUGCUGAGGAAAGUGUCUUCCAGCUAAGUAUCCAAGCACUUAGCAGAUGCAAUCUGGAAGAAUCAAACUGGGCCAAACCAAUAUGAACUUUUCGAAAGCCGUCAACUUGGGCAAAUCCCUGGAAUCCAUUCAUUUUUUCAUUUCAGUCCCUGACGUGAAGUCGACUUAAUUAAAAAUUUUGAAAGGUCCCAUGUUUCUGUCGUUAUGUCUGUUAAAAAAGAA
Molecule: long non-coding RNA, 2415 nt
Organism: Momordica charantia (bitter melon)
Lineage: Eukaryota; Viridiplantae; Streptophyta; Magnoliopsida; Cucurbitales; Cucurbitaceae
Source: RefSeq, a predicted model, not a curated record